RNAcentral lists this ribosomal RNA (119 nucleotides) under Pteropus alecto (black flying fox). Lineage: Eukaryota; Metazoa; Chordata; Mammalia; Chiroptera; Pteropodidae. The record is from RNAcentral.
GUCUACGGCCAUGCCACCCUGAACAAGCCCGAUUCCAUCUGAUCUUGGAAGCUGAGCAGGGUCGGGCCUGUUCAGUACUUGGAUGGGAGAUCAUCUAGGAAGACCAGGUGCUGUAGGUA